UACGAAGGGGGCGAGCGUUGUUCGGAUUUACUGGGCGUAAAGGGCGCGCAGGCGGCGCAUUUUGUCAGGCGUGAAAGCCCCGGGCUUAACCUGGGAACUGCGUUUGAUACGGAUGGGCUAGAGUUCGGGAGAGGAGAGUGGAAUUCCCAGUGUAGAGGUGAAAUUCGUAGAUAUUGGGAAGAACACCGGUGGCGAGGGCGGCUCUCUGGACCGAGACUGACGCUGAGGCGCGAAAGCGUGGGGAGCAAACAGG
Molecule: ribosomal RNA, 253 nt
Filed under: uncultured bacterium
Lineage: Bacteria
Description: partial 16S ribosomal RNA
Rfam family: Bacterial small subunit ribosomal RNA
Source: RNAcentral